Molecule: ribosomal RNA, 252 nt
Filed under: uncultured bacterium
Lineage: Bacteria
Description: partial 16S ribosomal RNA
Rfam family: Bacterial small subunit ribosomal RNA
Source: RNAcentral
UACGUAGGUCCCGAGCGUUGUCCAGAUUUAUUGGGCGUAAAGCGAGCGCAGGUGGUUUAUUAAGUCUGGUGUAAAAGGCAGUGGCUCAACGAUUGUAUGCAUUGGAAACUGGUAGACUUGAGUGCAGGAGAGGAGAGUGGAAUUCCAUGUGUAGCGGUGAAAUGCGUAGAUAUAUGGAGGAACACCGGUGGCGAAAGCGGCUCUCUGGCCUGUAACUGACACUGAGGCUCGAAAGCGUGGGGAGCAAACAGG